AUAUUUGAUUAAUAUGUUUAUCUUUAUCUUCUUCUUUUUUU
Molecule: small RNA, 41 nt
Filed under: Arabidopsis thaliana (thale cress)
Lineage: Eukaryota; Viridiplantae; Streptophyta; Magnoliopsida; Brassicales; Brassicaceae
Description: ATSL218440
Source: RNAcentral